AGGAUACAAGGAAAUACUUACAUGUAUACAUACAGUUUAGUUCAGUUAAUUUUUGUUUGAAUUAUUUGUGCCAACUUUAAGCAAAUGAGAAGAAAGAACCGUUGGCAUAACGAUAGAAAAUAUGAGAAAGAGAGAUAGAAGAAAAAAAUUUUCGAAAUAUCUUCGUGGAUAACACAAAUACCAAUAAUUAAUCAUUCGAAUAUUUUUCGAGACUGAAUUCAUGAUGAAUCAUGAAUAGUUUCAAUUGAUCGUUUUUGUAACGCGACGCGAUACGACAAUUCGUUGUUGAAUAUAACCUAAUCAUUCAUAAUGACAAUUCCUGACGGAAAAAAAUGUUUUACGAACAUCGAUCUACCUAAAUAGUCGGAGUGCUUUGAUACUUUUCCUGUGUGGCGCCAUUUUGCAACUCAACGUUCUUGUGGAAUUGCUUUGGAUGCACUGCUUGUGCACAUAAGUAACGAUAGCCGUUGGAAGAAGAUGGUCAUUAUGAAAAACGUAUCAAAUCGAAACGUCAGUAGGAGGAAAUAGAGAAAAUGAAGAAAAAUAAUUGUAUUUGAUAAAAUGAUUUUAUAAAUUCGUAGUUUGAAAGGAUACAACUUAAAUAAAAAACGGAAAAUUGCGUGUAGGUUUGAAAAAUCUGAAACGCGUAUAUUUUCGUUUACAGAUAUUCUCGAAACAGUAAUUAACAGUAAAGAAGUAUAUCGAAUCAG
This is a long non-coding RNA of Megachile rotundata (alfalfa leafcutting bee), 710 nucleotides long. The record is from RefSeq and is a predicted model, not a curated record. Lineage: Eukaryota; Metazoa; Arthropoda; Insecta; Hymenoptera; Megachilidae.